RNAcentral lists this ribosomal RNA (499 nucleotides) under uncultured Jeotgalicoccus sp. RNAcentral's name for it is "partial 16S ribosomal RNA". The record is from RNAcentral. Lineage: Bacteria; Bacillati; Bacillota; Bacilli; Caryophanales; Staphylococcaceae.
CACGUAGUUAGCCGUGGCUUUCUGGUUAAGUACCGUCAUCCCAAGGCCAGUUACUACCUCAAGUGUUCUUCCUUAACAACAGAGUUUUACGAGCCGAAACCCUUCAUCACUCACGCGGCGUUGCUCCGUCAGACUUGCGUCCAUUGCGGAAGAUUCCCUACUGCUGCCUCCCGUAGGAGUCUGGGCCGUGUCUCAGUCCCAGUGUGGCCGAUCACCCUCUCAGGUCGGCUAUGCAUCGUCGCCUUGGUGAGCCACUAUCUCACCAACUAGCUAAUGCACCGCAGGCCCAUCCAUGAGCGGCAGAUAAAUCCGCCUUUUAACUUAACUGCUUAUGCAGGAAAGUCGUAUCCGGUAUUAGCUUACCGUUUCGGUAGUUAUCCCAAUCUCAAGGGUAGGUUGCCUACGUGUUACUCCACCCGUCCGCCGCUCGAUCAUGAGACGCAAGCUCCUCAAUCUCGCGCUCGAUUGCAUGUAUUACGGCACGGCCGCCAGUCCGUUA